This is a non-coding RNA of Rattus norvegicus (Norway rat), 13838 nucleotides long. The record is from RefSeq and is a predicted model, not a curated record. NCBI's taxonomy places the organism in Eukaryota, Metazoa, Chordata, Mammalia, Rodentia, Muridae.
GUGCUCAAGCUAAUGACCCAGGGCCUUACAGGAGGGGCUGGAAUUAGAAGGCCCAGCUCUGGAAUGAACGCUGUGUAAAAAGCUGCACUUGGCCAGCUGGCUUUGAAGACGGAAAGGCCAGAGGCCAAGCAAUGGCGAGCCCCCUGAGGGAGCAGCAUGACUCAUUUCACCCUGGCAUCGGUUAUGAUGAAAACCACAGGUGCCUUGUCCAGAGCACGACAUCGAGAAAUGGUAACUGAUGAAUGCUUAGUACAUUUGAAAAUUUGAAAUGCACAGUGUCCAAGAAAGCAAUUAGAAAGAAUUAAGGAGAGUAUCUGUUAAAAAUUCACAAUUUGCUAAUAAUGAGGAAUGAAGCUUGGGCGCUCACCGGGGGCAAACACAAAUGAAUCAUGCUAAAAUGUUUUUCCAGUGGGGGUUUUCACAGUAGGACUCAGAGGACAAAAGGAAUGAAAGAUAAGGGCAUUUCAAUUAUUGCCAGAUUAUAAAAGGUUUGUGCCUGCACACGAUGAGAAGACACAGGGUACAUGCAGGACAGAUGAGUGGACCACUCUGCCAGUAUCGUCUGGGAACCUGAUACGCUCGUGGCAUCUUCUAGCUCUGCAGCAAAAGCUCGUAUACAACGACAGGCAGCUCUGGAGACCAAGAAAUAAAGAGAACUGGGAAAUGACUCACUUUCAUACUAGGGUUUUAAGAUUCUCUUCACUUAUAAAAGCAAAUCAAUCCUUUCUGUAUUUGCACGGCGGAGUCAUCUGUUUCCUUGUAUACGAAGAGGUUUCCAUUCCCCAGGUUAGAAGGAGGCUGUGUCCUUGCAGGGGAAGGUGACUUUUGUUCCUUUCUGCUCAUUAUGGGUGAGAUAACUUACUAAGGAGCUCAUUCAUCAAUCACUGAGCAGCAACCCUGUGUCAAGUGCCUUGACAGGUGCAGGAGGACUGCACUGCCUGACACACUGUCAUAUGGUAAGGUGGAAAGCUGUGUCUCUGGGGAAAAUUCAUGACAGCAUUUCUUACACAGCAGUGGCUGUCUGCUCCUGGAGGCUGCUGUCUUAAUUAAACCCGGAGAGGCUACCCUCUCCUCCUCUUACACUUCCCUCUGUUACAGAGAGUAAAGGGGAGCAGAGGGGGUGUUUGUAACUUGUGACUCUGAAAUUUGAAUCAAAGCCUUAAGUAUAUAAUAUGUCUCUCAUUCCAAUAGAAGACAAUUUUGUAUUCCCAAGGAACUCUGUAUUUGCUCUUAGAGAGGCCAUUUCCUCACUCAGGAGUUAGAAGAAACUGAGUGCUAUUUUCCUUUGUGGUGUAAUCAGUCAUUACACACAGCAGCUACUGAAAACAUACCUGCAUAGCCUCCCACAUUCAGUAGGAAGGGAGCCUGGCAGUGAUCAGGGGAGUCCUUUCUGUAAGACCUCAUAGGGCUCCCACUGUGUGUGGGGCAUAAGUGAGGUCUUCUCUGUGGAGUGGCUCGGGAAGGUUGAAGGCUUCAGCCAGACUGUCCUCAGAUCCUUGCCAUGUGAGUCUCGCAACAAAGCAGUUCAAUUCUUUGAACCCUUCCAGGAGUAAGAAAGGCCAGCAUAAAGCAGACACUAAAGUCCUGUACGAUGCAAUCAGAUAAGUCCUGUCAGCAGGACAUACCUGGCUACAAGCAGACAGGAGAUCCUGAGCAUGUUCUAAGGAGGGGAUUCUACCCGACCAUUACCAUAGGAAACACAGGCCCUGGGAGCCACCCACAGAGUCUGCCUAACACAUGACUUCAGACUUUUCUCCAUGCUAUGUCAUGUCAGAACUUACUUGCUUUAUUAUUACUACUUUAAAUGUGCUUAUUUUUAAUUAUGUUUAAUAGUGUGUUAAUAAUUAACCCCGGCUAUAGUAUUUUGGACACAUUUUAAUCUUAAUAUAAGUUAUUUGCCUAUCUUUUUGCAUUUGUUUAAACUGUAAGUUCAUCACAGAACUCUGUGAGGUUCCCCUUCGCUGAGACUGUAAUUUUACACUGUGGAGCUAACCUCUUAGAAUGUGCUGCAUGCGCUCCUGUCUAGUCUUAAUCGCCAGAGCAGCAGGCUAAGGGCCCUGGAGACCGUGGCUGUGACGGCCUGGCACGCAGUAGUUAAAUUCUGACUUGCUUUGGUCCAAGUGGAUUCUUGCUGCUUCAGCGCGGCUUCUUCUCAUGCCCAUUUCUACCAUCACUUCUGUCACUUCUGUUGUCGUCACUCACACACAUACUUCCUGACUGGGAGCCUUCACCCAAGGCCUUCUUUGCUCACGCUGUCAGGUUCAUUACGUUGGAAGAUGAAAUGAUCUUCCACAGACAGACAGACGGGAACCACGCAGUCCCGACGAAGGGUGCCGCGCAUCCAGUUAGGGACGGACACACGUGAGGCAGGUGACAUUGUUCCUCUACCAAGUCUCAUUUCAAAAACUAAGGUGAAUGGCCGUGACUCUUUACUGCAGCUCCUCAUGCUGCGGUGACUCCUCACCACAGAAUUAUUCAAUUGGUAAUUGAUAACUGUCAUAUUUCUACUGGAAUAUGACAUAGUUAGGAAUAGUAUUGUAAACAUCUGUGUGUUCCAGGAGGCGCAGGCAACCACUGUGAAAGGGGGUCGCCAUGCACACUGCUCUGUGAAUACUGCAUCCAUGGCUCCAAGGCACUGCGUCUGUCUUGCUGUGGGGUUUCUAUGCUGUUUUAAAGUCCUUUUUACAUUAAAGAGGUACUUUACAGCGCAGAGGUAAUAAAUGAUUUCUCUUGAGGAAAAGUUCAGAAGUUUCAAAGGGAAACAAAACACAGUCUCCCGGUUCUUUCUGAGAAGGCCACUGUUAUCACCGUUAGAGACUGUGUCUGAUCUAACACCACCCAACCUUCAGGAGCAGUCACCUAUUCCUGCAUCCCGGCUAGGCGUAUCUAAGUCAUAAAAAUUAGACAAACUGUAUUUUGUUCAAUGAUUUUAAUUAAAAACCUCCCUCUAACGCAGCCUUAUAGAGUGCUUUGCAUUUUGAAGAACACUUUCACCCCAAACUCCUUAAUCCUUGAGAUGACCCUAUGAAGAGGAUAUCCCUUCUUCAGAGUCAUAAAGCUAGACUACUGAGAUAAAUCGGACUUCCCAGUUCUUAGCUGCAAUGACUGUAAGACUAUAUGCUACAAUACAGUUCUAAAAACGAGAACAACAGAAUGUCUUAACUAUGCCCUAGUCACACUAAAAGGACUGAACCUAGAGACUUAAAACACUGUCCUUUCUAAGCUUGUGACUGAAGUAAAUUGUCUGAGUCUUAAUCUUUUCAUGUUUUUACUGUGUGUGUGUGUGUGUGUGUGUGUGUGUGUGUAUGUGUUUUACACCCACUAGUGAAAGCAUAUGUGCCUUUUGCAGAGCCCAGAGGAAAAAAUACAGAAAUACGGUAUCUCGCUCCAUCAUUAUCUGCCUUGCUCCCUUGAGACAUGGGUUUCUUACUCAGCCUUGAGUUAGGCUAUGAGCUAGGAACUCCCAGACAUCCUCCGUUAUUCUCUUCCCAAACUCUAGCACCAGUAUUACAAGAAUCCACACAGACAUGCCUUUGUGUAUGUGUGUGUGUGUGUGUGUGUGUGUGUGUGUGUGUGUGUGUGUGUGUGUGUGUGGGCGCACCAGGGAUUUGAACUCGGUUCCUUAAACUUGCUCAGCAAGAGCUCUUAACUCACGCCUUCUACAGGACACAGUACCUACCUCACGGGGUAGCUAGAGAAGCUAAAGUAGCCGUUAACAUGUAAGCCUGUAAGUUAUAAAACUUAGCAGACCUUCUAUAUCAAUGACACUGGUUUUAAAGAUGAUAUUUAAAAUGUGAUAUUAAUAUUGUUCUGAAGGCAAGGCCUGAACUUUUGGAUCUAAACUGAAUUGUUUCAUUAUAUUAAGCAAUUAUGAAAGAUGUUAUGAAAACAUUUUAACACAGCUGCCACCCAUUUAGAUAAACUGUUAAUUCUUUGUCCUCAUAUAAAUUCUGGAGAGCACCUAUUCUAUUAUCUCAACAGAAUGCCUUCAGUUUGAAUGGAGACUUUUACAGAUCUUGGGAAAAAAACAUUUCUGUCUGGUCCUUGAGGCAUUCUGUGAUUAAAAUUAGUUUUUCAAAAAACAUUAUGGAAGAGUGCUUCUUCCCUGUUUCUUGCUAUCACUACAGAACAUCCAAUGCCUUCUGUGAUCUUGGAGCAGUCUCUGUAUUUGUUCUCCCUUCCUGUUUGAAAUCAGUGUGUGUGAAACUCUCCUAGCCCCAUUCAUGCCAGGGUCUACAGGCUUCUUAUUUGAUUAAAUCCUAGACUUUGUACAUCCUGCAAUCCCCUUGACAACCUUAUCCCUGCGUUGAGAGAAAUGAAAUCUCUCUUGUCUAGCCAUGCCUUAAUAACUUGAGGCUACUGAUAGUAUACAUGAUUAAAGUGUAGAUCUGAAAUACAUUCCUGGAAAUGAUCUUCUAGGAAAACCCAUCAUACGUGGAAGCUUUGGGACUGACUCACAGUAGAAAAUGGCUUGCAUAUAUUAAAUAGUUUCUUGAUUUUAUGACUCAAAGGCUGUAUAUAUUUACUUCCUAGGUGCAACAGAAAAUGGCAGAUGCUUCUAUAUAUUUGAUAGUAUUGAAUAUUUUCAGCAUCCAAUUUCUCAGAAAUUUGUUUAAUAAAAACAGCACAUAUUUGUCAAUUGAUUGAUAUGCAGAUGGGUCAAUAGGGAGGCAUGUAGCUGUCUUAAGAUCCAGGAUGAUAAGAGACAAGUGUUCAUUGCUGUCAGACUUCAGGACAUUCAUUAACGUAACACACAUAGAUACCAGGCUGAAGCACCGAUAGUGAACUUCAGGUUUUCCAGCAUCUAAAAUGCCAGGGAGCAGCACAAAUAUCUCUAAGAUGAAGUAUUCUUUGCUACUCCAAGUCCAGCCCAAGUGACUGCCAUCCCCACCCACUAGCUUUCCUGUUUCCUUCAUUCUUGUUACUCUUACACUGCAGUGUAAGAAUUGUCCAAAAAGCUUUUGAAAUGUAGGUCAUAUUAUUUGAUCGCUGCUUGAAACCAUCAAUGGCUUCCUGUGACUCUUAAAAUACAAGACAUUCCUUUCCGUGUCCUAUAAAGCGGUUGCCCUACAUCUCUAGCCUUAUCUCAUGGUACUCAUCUGCCUGCUUGUAUCUGGUGGGUACACAACUUUCGUUUUUACUAUCCCUCACACAUUUCAGGGUUAUUUCUGCCACAGAGCUUCUGUAACGGCUGGAGAAACCCUUCCCAUUGGCUUUCUUCCAGCUGAGUGUGGACUCCAGUCCCAACUCUUCCAAGGGACUUUCUGUGUCCACCAGUCUUAAGUAGCAUCUCCAUUUAGUUGCUUUCCCCAGCAUAUCAACUGGUUUUCUGCUGUGUGUAACAUUUACCUCCUUCUGGAAUUAGGGUAUUUGCUUCUUCGAUCAUUUGUUUACAACUUUACCAGCUACAUUUACACUGGAUGCUGAAGAGUAAGGUUCAGCCUAUGAAUGAUACUUUAGGCACUUUGGGUUUGAUAUUGUUAUUUUAGUGACUGUCCCACUGUGGACGUUCAGCAGUUUGUGCAAGAAUGAAAUGGAUCUAAAUGACUGCCUUUUUAAAGGGGUAUGCGUUUCUCUUUUCUUUUUUUCUUUUUAUUCUGGAAAUAAAAAUUUAACUCCGAAUGAAAUGGUUUUUCCUUGAAGCUAAUAAUAUUUAAAUCAUUCAAAAUAAAAUUCAGUGCAUUUUCUAUUAGAACCAUAUAGACCAUUCAAUUCAAUUUCCAACGAUACAAGGAAAUGUAUGUUUUCCAUUUCUUGGAUGGUUAGAGUCUGUGAAUAUCUACAGCCUUAAAUAUCCGACUCUAGAAAAUGAAGUCAUCAGAGAAGAACUGACCCCCACAAUGACAGCUUAGCCUUUCUCUUGGCUGACACAGUUCCAACAGGCUGUGAGUGAGAAAGCACUCCCUCUGGCCAGUUCCAAGAGAAGCAGGAGACAUAGCCCAUGUGACUCUUUAGGACCAAUACAAAACAGUAUGGUUGACAUCCACUAAAGGACAUGGUGUUUCCUUGACAAAUCAGACUAAUAAUACAAGUGUGCUAUCAGGAGAAAUGAAAAAAAAAAAGAUGUAAGCAGCAGGUACUGAAGACUGGGAUGAGGAGAUGUGAAGUGUGAACUUGGGAUUUGAGAGAAAGGAGGAAUCUAGGAAAGGUCAUGAGAGCAUUUAAGAUGUUAGACCCUGUCUUUCCCCUAUGUCAUGAGACAUUUCUAACUGGCUCAUACAGCUUUCAUUUAGCUUCUUUGCUAUGUGUUACACAUUUUUAAAAAACAAGUUAUUGAGUUAGAAUUGGUUUUGAUCUUGGAAAGGAUGUGGAAGCCCUUGGGGAUCUUGAUAGUUAGUAAGGUGUUAGAGUUACUUCUCAGAACAUAAAAAGAAGAGAGACGUUAACCCGGCACGCUACUUUUAAGAGUUUAAUUACUAAGUGGUUAACAGUUGUACUACUCUAGCUGGGCUCACUUCUCAGCACCAUCAGGGCAGCUUACAAACACCAUGACUCCUGUUCUAGGGGCUCCGAUGGCCUCUUCUGACCUUAGUGGGUAUCAGACACACACGUGGUGCACAAACAGACAUGCAAAUAAGACACUCAUCUACUUGCAAUAAAGGUAAAUUAAAUCAGAAGAGAUAAACGAUAGCUAAUUAAUGACAGAAACGAGAGAACUGACGCAAGCUGCUCACAGAGCCCAGUGUAUAUAAUUGGAGGGUCAGUGUUGCAAAAGGGAAAGGUUCUCCUUAUUCUCAUCUAGCUGGAUAAAAUUUAAUUAGUCAACCAAUUUAUAACAUUGGACUUUUAUAUUUUUAUAAGAAAUGCUGUAAUCAAAAUAUUUACAUACAUAUUUUUUAUUACUUGCUUUUUAAAAAUACCAAUAGUUGAGAUUAGUGAGUUAAAAUAUGUGAUUAAAAACAUUUUUAUCAUUAAAAUUUUUCAAAAGAUCUUGUGUAUAUGCGCAUGUGCGUGUACGUGUAUGUGUGUGUAUUCUCAAGAAUAUGGGGCCAAAUUACAUCCCCACCUGUAGUUGAUUGUUUACUUUCAACUUUAAUUAGUGGCAGGCCCAGAUGGCUCCUCAUUUUUUAAAUGACUAAUAUAUGAAUAAUUUAAGAGAAAGGAAAGUAUAUUCUUUAUGGAAUGAUUCAUGUCCCCUGCUUCCUUUGCCCAGUGCUAUUUAGGCCCUUGUGGGUGUAGAAAAUUUAGCUUUCACUGCAUCUCAGUUUUGUGAAACGCCGAAGAUUAAGACUCCAGCUAUGACUCAGCUGGUGUGUGGACACCCUUCUCCCCCAGUCUUUUACAGUGCACUCCCAAUAGUAAGUCACAACUCAAGCAUUCAGGCAGAAUGGAAAGGUUUAAGCAUAACUAUGAUCUUAAUUCUAAGCUCACUUCAGUCUUGACAUGUAUGUUUUCUUGCUUUAAUGCAGUAAGCUUUCUCAAUAAUCAUAUAUUAGUAUGUAUCUGUUUAUAAGAGCUUGAAUGAGGUAUAUAUGUAGCUAUGCUACAUAGUUCUAUUGGUUUGGACUGAUGAAUGGAUAUAGGGACUUGUUGUCACCUACUCAUAGGAGCAGGUUGGGGAUGGGCACAAGAGCACAUACGUGCAGUUGGCAAUGAGCUAGGACUAGGUGUGACUGUGUAAAGUCACAUGUACUUGGUGCUACCUCUGACGUUAAUGUCGGUGUGCUCCCCUGUAUGUACCGAUAUAAAGCAUUGCCUGUGCUUCUCAAGAGGUCAGCAUCCACUUGCCUUCCACUUGACAAAGAAUCUGGGGGAAGUCUGCAGAUUUCACCGAAGCCAAUGGCUAUCACAGAAGAGUGAAAACACCUUCUCGCUCCUUGGCUGUGCUGUACUUUACUCAUUAGCUUUCAAUCCGGGGCACAGGAGUGCAUUCCUGCUGGGGCCCAGUUUGCCCAUAAUUACUACUGCUGUUCAACAGAGGAAGUAGCAGGUCGGCCCUUCCUGCUUUCCCUUGAUUGACGUCCUAUCUGCCCCACCCUGAAAAGGGAUGAGGAUUCCUCUGUAAUCUUCUCCCUGUUUUUAUAUCCUACUUUUCAUUUCUAUGAAAGCUUGAAGGUGGGAAAUUAAACCAUUCUUUGGUUCUGAGCCAACCUUCAGCAGCCAAGCCAUCUCUUCAGCCCUUACAGAAACACACGGGAAACUCAGCGAGUUCUUAUUGUAUCAAAGGUCUCCUAUGGGGUAACUGGCAAGGCAUUUUAAAAACUAUUUUAAAUCAGAACUGAGCAUUUUGCCUUUAUUUCAUAAUAAUUUGCCGAUGUGCACGUCAAUCAAACGAAGACCACUGCUCUGAAGCAGUCGUGACCUCACAUGAAGAUUACACUAAGGGGCCACAAUGCUAUUGGCCACGCAGAUACUGAUGGAGAUUGGGAGAAGCAUUUCCGGAGUUCCGAUCCUGACUGAGAUGUCUGUAUUCCCUCUUUACUGUCUUACUAAACACAACAGAACAGAGCAGAGAUUUCCGUGGUCACCAAUAACAGCUGAAAGGUGAGGACACAGACACUGCUGUAGCUCUCCCUGGUGACCACUCUAACAGAAAAGCAAUACUGCUGUGUGUUUGAUAUUGAGAAGAGCGCUCAUCUACCCCUAUCCAAGUGGAUCCAAGCUGAAUGAAGCCCUAGACAACAGAAGACUUAGCAGACGGAAGGGAAUUUAAAUUACUUACUGGACGUCCUCACCACGCCACACCAGUACAACUCAGCAGCAGGGAGCACCCCCAGCUCCACGGAGCAGUUAACAAGCAUUCCCUUGAACCCUCCCAUCUUUACACGAAGCAGCAGUUAAGUCAUUUGCCCCACAGAACCGUGGAUGAACAGCUACUGUACUCACUGGAGCACCUCUGGAAGCUCAGAGACUACAGAGCACAAAUCUUCACGGAUUCACAAACACCCUGACAUUUGUCUGCACAGGCACUCUGAUGAGGAUUUGAUGGCCAUGCUUACAAUGAUGCUACACAUGGGAGCCUAGCAUAGUUUCAGAAGUCUUCUGAAAAUGGAUGCAAAAGUGCAUGUCAUUCAACACUCUGGAAGGGGGAUUUCAUCACAGUUCGGAGGAAUUGAUAACCCAGAACAUUCAGGACUGUCUUCCAGACAGUCUUCUGAGUUUGUUUUAAAGACGUAAGAACCAAGAAAACAUCCUACAGGUUUCUGAAGAAGAAUUUUAGUGUAACAUCCUAGGAUGUAUUUAUAUUGAAUGAAAGUGGAGACCAUUGCCCAAGUGAACAUCUGAAGUUAUAACUUGAAAUGAGAGCUAAGGCAAAGGAAACGAGGUUGGGCUUGGCUCACUGGGCUACUUCACUCUAGUAAUUUCCUCUUUCCUGUUAUAUACAUUAAAAAAAGCCACUGCUUACAGCAAAAGGCAAAGGACCUAGGUUUCUGUGAAUCAUUAAAGAGGUAUGCCCUAUAAAGCUGAAAGGAACUGACAAAAAUGCCAGCAUCAACAGCUACACUUCAAAGAAGACAGCAAAGAAACUGCUGGUUUACACGACAGGGCACACAUGAUCUUGUAGAGGAUAAAAAGUGCACACAUCAGUUUUCUGUUCUCUUCCAAAGAGAUUCUGCUGAACUUUAAAUAUUUUCUUUGAAUAAUCAUGUUUGACAGAGCUAAUGGUUAAUGUGAGUGAAGUAAUUAAAACUAAUGACAACAAUAUCCACUGGGUUAUGUAUAGGCAGGUGUUUCCCUCUACUGUUUCCACACAAGCAUAAAAAUGUUUACACACAGAACACUAGUCCAUAAAUAUCUAUAAGAAGCGAUUGAGUUCAGCCCCUCCUAAAACGCACAGAGAUAUCCUCUAUAUAAUCAAUUAUUAAGUUUUCUGGAUAUAUAACUUUAUUUUUAAAAAUGUAUUAGGUUACAUAAAAAUUUAAACAUAUACCUGUUAUAUACAGUGAACAGACAAUAAUUUAGAAGCAUGGCUUCCAAUCUUCACUAAUGUAUCUUUUUGUUUGUUUGUUUGUUUUAUUGGAUAUAUUUCUUUAUUUACAUUUCAAAUGUUAUUUCCUUUCCUGGUUUCUUGUCCAUAAGUCCUCUAUCCCCUCCCCCUCCCCCAUAGGGUGUCUCCCCCCAUCUACCCCCUUUAUGCCCCCCCCCCGACAUUCCCCUGAACUGGGAGUCCAACCUUGGCAGGACCAAGGGCUUUCCCUUCCACUGGUGCCCCAACAAGGCCAUCCUCUGCUACAUACAUAUACAGUUUGAGCCCUGGGUCAAUCCAUGUAUAGUCUUUGGGUAGUGGUUUAGUCCCUGAGAGCUCUGGUUGGUUGGCAUUGUUGUUCUUAUGGUGUUACAAGCCCCUUCAGUUCUUUAAUCCUUCCUCUAGUCAUAAGUUAUCAAAGGGCCUGUGAAUGUUAGUUCACCAAGCAGCAAUGCUACUUACCAGCCAGAUUUAUAUCCACAACUUAAUAUUCUGACAAUUAGGAGAAUAUUCUCUCUCUCUCUCUCUCUCUCUCUCUCUCUCUCUCUCUCUCUCUCUCUCUCUCUCCUCAGCAUUUGCAUGCCUACCUACAUAUCCAUCUACUUAUCUGCCCUUCCAACCUUGGAUCAUCUACCCAUCCCUUCAGUCACUCGUGCAUCCCUGCUUAGAGAAGAAGAUCAGGAGUGGGAUGGACAGCGGAGUGCUCAAGGAACCCUACAGUAGGUAGUGAUGCUACGGGAAGACACAAGGACAGCACGCUGUUCUGCUAAAUGCCACAUGUUAACUGACAUGGGGGAUGUCAUGCAGCCAUCAUGACUAACUUACUUAUAUCUGAUAUCUUCUAAUGUGGGAAGUUAGAUUCUACAAAGGUAACCACAAAACUAACUUCUGCCACCCGAUCUUUUAAAAUGUGAUCAUGGUACCUGUCAUCCAGCAUGGGGCCUGAGCCCCAGAACUGGAGUCUGCGCAGAUGGACAGAAUAUGCACAUUUUGCUUCCUAAGGCCUGCAUACUCAUGACUCUCACUUUUGUAGGAAUUCUAUGUGUAGGUAACAAUGCCCAGUGCGCUUGGGCUAAAGACUUUACCUAUUAAUAUUGUGUUCUCAUGAACCACAGUUUUCUUAUUUCUCCUCUUUUCAUACUUUGGACAUGUUAUUAUUGACUUUUAUAAAUAAUGUUAGGGUUAGGAAAAUCAUAUAUAAUAUUUAUUGCAGGGAAACAAAUGGUAUAUUGAAAAUAGUUACUAAAAGUUGAAAUUCUCAUGAAGAGCAGACAUGCCUGAGGGACUGAAUGAGGGAAAUGUAGAAAUGUCUAGUCAUCUGGGUGCUCUCUGGGGACUCUGGGCUGGUGCUGGGACUUACUUAGAAACUGGCCUGCUUCUCCUGUGUUGACUUGUGAGGUCCCUAGUUCUGAUCAUACAAUUCACAGGCAAUGCUGUUGUCUUGGCCUAAGUCAGCAGCUCUGAAGAGCAGGGAACUGAUCUGGUUUCUCCACAGCCCUUCCAUGAGUUACCCAGCUUACUGCCACAGUCUGCUCUUAGUUGUUCCUGUUUAUAAUCUUUUCUUAAAAUCCCCUCAUGGUUUGUUCUGUUUGGUUUGUCUUUGAUUUGGUUUUGUGACAAAGGUCCUCAAUACUUAUCCUAGUCUGUGUUAGCAAUUGUUAUGUAGCCCAGUCUAGCCUUAAAAGCACUCCUCCUGCCUUUAGAUAUAAGGCACCAUGGCUGGCUAAGUCUCGUCAGUCCUUUCGAUGUCAUUGUUGUCUGGGAAUCUUCUGUUGAAUUGGUCUGCUCUGGUCUGCCUCAGUAUUUUGGGGUUAGAGCCCUGUGCCACCAGGCCCCAUUUAACCUCAUUUGAUGUUACGGCCCCUGUGGUAUGCUUUUAAAACCUUCCUCAGCACUGGUUUACCGUCAUACUUCCAGUGUGAUUAUCCUUCAUACUUCUAGUGCGAUUAUUUUUUAUUUUUACUUUUUUUGCUAUUUAUUUUCCAAUGUCAAAGAUACUUUGGAAGAGAAUAGAAGUAAUGACAUGCAUUAAUUCGCUCUCUUCAGUUUGAAUAUAUUGAGAUCUUGAGCACUUUAAAUAAAGCAAUACUUUCUCCAGAACCCUCAUGUUUGUGUUUUUAAUAAGUAGUAUCAAUAUUACUAUAGACAAAUAUAUUCCAUGCAAUUAAACUAUCAGAACUAAGGUUUUUCCUCUGCUUUGUUUAACAAAUUAUAAGAAGGAGGAGAAGGAAGAAGAGGAGGAGGAGGAGGAGGAGGAGGAGAAGAUAACGAUGAUCACUUACAGUCCAUAUCAAGUACGGCACGGACAGACCUAAGAAGUUCCUUGGAUUCCAGAAGCAGGGGUGCUGGGAAGUUACGUCCGUUCCUUCCCAGCAGCGGAAGCGAGGUCUGAGAGGCAAGCACAGCUCUUCUUUCACUGCAUGGGCAAUGAGAUGGCCUUGAGCAUAUGCAUAGCAGUGACGCCUGUCUCGGCUAAACCUCAGUCUGUCCUUUAUGUCUGCACAAGAAUAUUUCUAUUCCUAGGAACACUGGAUCCAUAGAGCUAUACAAGAACACAGUCACAUAGAAUAAAUAGUAUUUCUGGUUUUCCUUGUUUAUUUUAUAGGAAAUAGGCAUUUGAACAAAUACUUUGACUUUAUAUUUCAGAAGGAAGUAAAUGAAGGAUAGCCUACAUCCUAAAUUGUUUGCUGGUCUUUUUAUUUCAUUUUGUAAAAUUUAAAAUUAAACAUGUAAACAUGAGUUUAUUAAACAGAUCUUUUCUAUUGCUUACAGUAAUAUUAAAUAAAAUAUGGUGCAUGUACAUUCACUUAAGAAAUUACCUUUUUAGUUCUCCCUUUUGUUGUUCCUAACUACAAAAAAAACCCUGAAAGGCUUUAUGCAAAUCUUCUUAUAAGAUAUUUCAUUUUGCUUUUUAUUAAUAUACUUUCUUCACUGAUAAUUUCAUACAUGUAGAUAAUGCAUUUUGGUUACGCUUCCCUGGUCAGCCUUCUUGCUUCCCUCCAACCCGUGGAGCUGGCAAGCUUCCAUUUUCCUUGUCAAUCUCUUUCUCGUAUUCAUCAUUUUUCAUUAUUUUUGUGUCCCAGAGUCUAAUUCUACUGCCAUAUGAAAUCAAUGCAUUACGAUAUAAUUUAAAAUGCAACCUUUUCCUGGGAAAAUCAUAGUAAAUCUUUUACUUGAAGACAGAUGACUUUAUUGAAAAUAAAUCAUGAUCUACAACCAGCAUCUUGAACAUGAUGGCAUUACCUGACCAGGGUCAGCUUAAGAAUUCUCCAAUACAAACGCAGGGCCUCUACUCUGUGUUGAAUGGCCAUGGUCCUACUCACACCAAAGAGUGAGCGAGACCAUAACAGGGUUUAGCUUUGAAGACACAGCAGAAGUUGCUUACUGUAGCUAUUUCAAGUGGGUUUCCCCCUAAAAAGUGUUUUAAAAAUUGGUUUUGAUAUAGUAAAAGUGAAAAUGAGAUGUAGGGGGGUACGUAUAACAUAUGAAAGGGAAAGAUUGCACUGAACAUUCCAGACUCCUUGCUAAAACAGUAUUCAUAGAAUCCACAGAAAUAAAUUACAAGUACUAUAGUUAACAAAAAUGUCAGAUAUUUUCAUAAUAAGAAAUGAAACAUUAAAAUGGAUGUAGAAGUCAGCCAGUGGAUAUAUUAUUCCAAAUUUUAAAAAAUAGCUUUUGCUGCUAUUCUUGUUUUAAGAGAAAGACUCACUGUAGCCUCCCCGGUUGAUAUUGAACUCAACAGGUUCUCCAGUGUCAAGUAGAAGCCACUAUGUGAGGCUGAUUUCCUCUACUGAGCUGCUGUUUUCACGGGAGUGUAGUGUCUGUCUCUGCAAUUGGUGCUGGUAGAGUUGGGCACAAGAGGGACUAUGGUGGUUAUAAGGAAAUCAUCACUUUUACCAUAGACCAGUAGGCACCUUUCUUUGGUAUAUGC